GCUUGUCUCAAAGAUUAAGCCAUGCAUGUCUCAGUAUAAGCUUUUACACGGCGAAACUGCGAAUGGCUCAUUAAAACAGUUAUCGUUUCUUUGGUGGUUAUUGAUUACAUGGAUAACCGUGGUAAUUCUAGAGCUAAUACAUGCAAAAAAACCCAGACUUACGAAUGGGUGCACUUAUUAGAUAAAGCCAACGCUGGGUAAAACCAGUUUCCCUUGGUGAUUCAUAAUAAUUAAGCGGAUCGCAUGGCCUUGUGCUAGCGACAGUCCACUCGAUUUUCUGCCCUAUCAUGGUUGAGAUUGUAAGAUAGAGGCUUACAAUGCCUACAACGGGUAACGGGGAAUUAGGGUUCGAUUCCGGAGAGGGAGCCUGAGAAACGGCUACCACAUCCAAGGAAGGCAGCAGG
RNAcentral lists this ribosomal RNA (404 nucleotides) under uncultured Mucor. RNAcentral's name for it is "partial small subunit ribosomal RNA". It matches the Rfam family "Eukaryotic small subunit ribosomal RNA", at positions 30 to 432 of the family's 1831-position model. The record is from RNAcentral. Lineage: Eukaryota; Fungi; Mucoromycota; Mucoromycetes; Mucorales; Mucoraceae.